Molecule: ribosomal RNA, 3019 nt
Filed under: Salmonella enterica subsp. enterica serovar Weltevreden
Lineage: Bacteria; Pseudomonadati; Pseudomonadota; Gammaproteobacteria; Enterobacterales; Enterobacteriaceae
Description: bacterial LSU rRNA
Rfam family: Bacterial large subunit ribosomal RNA
Source: RNAcentral
UUAAGCGACUAAGCGUACACGGUGGAUGCCCUGGCAGUCAGAGGCGAUGAAGGGCGUGCUAAUCUGCGAUAAGCGCCGGUAAGGUGAUAUGAACCGUUAUAACCGGCGAUACCCGAAUGGGGAAACCCAGUGUGACUCGUCACACUAUCAUUAACUGAAUCCAUAGGUUAAUGAGGCGAACCGGGGGAACUGAAACAUCUAAGUACCCCGAGGAAAAGAAAUCAACCGAGAUUCCCCCAGUAGCGGCGAGCGAACGGGGAGGAGCCCAGAGCCUGAAUCAGCAUGUGUGUUAGUGGAAGCGUCUGGAAAGGCGCGCGAUACAGGGUGACAGCCCCGUACACAAAAGCGCAUGUGCUGUGAGCUCGAUGAGUAGGGCGGGACACGUGGUAUCCUGUCUGAAUAUGGGGGGACCAUCCUCCAAGGCUAAAUACUCCUGACUGACCGAUAGUGAACCAGUACCGUGAGGGAAAGGCGAAAAGAACCCCGGCGAGGGGAGUGAAAAAGAACCUGAAACCGUGUACGUACAAGCAGUGGGAGCCCCACCACCAAAGCGUUUCGCUUUGUGUGGUGCACAAAGAAGCGUAACGACAGCACUGAAUGACGGUUAACGGAGCGCAAGCGACGUUCAACAUACAAAGUCAAGCAGUGGAGCGCUUUGGGGUGGGGUGACUGCGUACCUUUUGUAUAAUGGGUCAGCGACUUAUAUUCUGUAGCAAGGUUAACCGAAUAGGGGAGCCGGAGGGAAACCGAGUCUUAACCGGGCGUUAAGUUGCAGGGUAUAGACCCGAAACCCGGUGAUCUAGCCAUGGGCAGGUUGAAGGUUGGGUAACACUAACUGGAGGACCGAACCGACUAAUGUUGAAAAAUUAGCGGAUGACCUGUGGCUGGGGGUGAAAGGCCAAUCAAACCGGGAGAUAGCUGGUUCUCCCCGAAAGCUAUUUAGGUAGCGCCUCGUGAAUUCAUCUCCGGGGGUAGAGCACUGUUUCGGCUAGGGGGCCAUCCCGGCUUACCAACCCGAUGCAAACUGCGAAUACCGGAGAAUGUUAUCACGGGAGACACACGGCGGGUGCUAACGUCCGUCGUGAAGAGGGAAACAACCCAGACCGCCAGCUAAGGUCCCAAAGUCAUGGUUAAGUGGGAAACGAUGUGGGAAGGCCCAGACAGCCAGGAUGUUGGCUUAGAAGCAGCCAUCAUUUAAAGAAAGCGUAAUAGCUCACUGGUCGAGUCGGCCUGCGCGGAAGAUGUAACGGGGCUAAACCAUGCACCGAAGCUGCGGCAGCGACGCUUAUGCGUUGUUGGGUAGGGGAGCGUUCUGUAAGCCUGUGAAGGUGGCCUGUGAGGGUUGCUGGAGGUAUCAGAAGUGCGAAUGCUGACAUAAGUAACGAUAAAGCGGGUGAAAAGCCCGCUCGCCGGAAGACCAAGGGUUCCUGUCCAACGUUAAUCGGGGCAGGGUGAGUCGACCCCUAAGGCGAGGCCGAAAGGCGUAGUCGAUGGGAAACGGGUUAAUAUUCCCGUACUUGGUGUUACUGCGAAGGGGGGACGGAGAAGGCUAUGUUGGCCGGGCGACGGUUGUCCCGGUUUAAGCGUGUAGGUGUGUGUUCCAGGUAAAUCCGGUUCACUUUAACACUGAGGCGUGAUGACGAGGCACUACGGUGCUGAAGCAACAAAUGCCCUGCUUCCAGGAAAAGCCUCUAAGCAUCAGGUAACAUCAAAUCGUACCCCAAACCGACACAGGUGGUCAGGUAGAGAAUACCAAGGCGCUUGAGAGAACUCGGGUGAAGGAACUAGGCAAAAUGGUGCCGUAACUUCGGGAGAAGGCACGCUGAUAUGUAGGUGAAGCGGUUUACCCGUGGAGCUGAAAUCAGUCGAAGAUACCAGCUGGCUGCAACUGUUUAUUAAAAACACAGCACUGUGCAAACACGAAAGUGGACGUAUACGGUGUGACGCCUGCCCGGUGCCGGAAGGUUAAUUGAUGGGGUCAGCGCAAGCGAAGCUCCUGAUCGAAGCCCCGGUAAACGGCGGCCGUAACUAUAACGGUCCUAAGGUAGCGAAAUUCCUUGUCGGGUAAGUUCCGACCUGCACGAAUGGCGUAAUGAUGGCCAGGCUGUCUCCACCCGAGACUCAGUGAAAUUGAACUCGCUGUGAAGAUGCAGUGUACCCGCGGCAAGACGGAAAGACCCCGUGAACCUUUACUAUAGCUUGACACUGAACAUUGAGCCUUGAUGUGUAGGAUAGGUGGGAGGCUUUGAAGCGUGGACGCCAGUCUGCGUGGAGCCGACCUUGAAAUACCACCCUUUAAUGUUUGAUGUUCUAACGUGGACCCGUGAUCCGGGUUGCGGACAGUGUCUGGUGGGUAGUUUGACUGGGGCGGUCUCCUCCUAAAGAGUAACGGAGGAGCACGAAGGUUGGCUAAUCCUGGUCGGACAUCAGGAGGUUAGUGCAAUGGCAUAAGCCAGCUUGACUGCGAGCGUGACGGCGCGAGCAGGUGCGAAAGCAGGUCAUAGUGAUCCGGUGGUUCUGAAUGGAAGGGCCAUCGCUCAACGGAUAAAAGGUACUCCGGGGAUAACAGGCUGAUACCGCCCAAGAGUUCAUAUCGACGGCGGUGUUUGGCACCUCGAUGUCGGCUCAUCACAUCCUGGGGCUGAAGUAGGUCCCAAGGGUAUGGCUGUUCGCCAUUUAAAGUGGUACGCGAGCUGGGUUUAGAACGUCGUGAGACAGUUCGGUCCCUAUCUGCCGUGGGCGCUGGAGAACUGAGGGGGGCUGCUCCUAGUACGAGAGGACCGGAGUGGACGCAUCACUGGUGUUCGGGUUGUCAUGCCAAUGGCACUGCCCGGUAGCUAAAUGCGGAAGAGAUAAGUGCUGAAAGCAUCUAAGCACGAAACUUGCCCCGAGAUGAGUUCUCCCUGAGACUUUAGGUCUCCUGAAGGAACGUUGAAGACGACGACGUUGAUAGGCCGGGUGUGUAAGCGCAGCGAUGCGUUGAGCUAACCGGUACUAAUGAACCGUGAGGCUUAACCUU